Molecule: long non-coding RNA, 1228 nt
Organism: Lepus europaeus (European hare)
Lineage: Eukaryota; Metazoa; Chordata; Mammalia; Lagomorpha; Leporidae
Exons: 3
Source: RefSeq, a predicted model, not a curated record
CCCCUCCCCGCCGUUCAAGUUUCUGCGCCCGGAGGACGCGGCCCUGGCCAAUCCCUGGGCUACAGGGCGCUUUUAAAAUGCAGGUACCCCCAAGCGCGUUUAUGGCUGAGAAGCGUCCCGGGGUGAGGGGCAUUCCUACCCUGGGACCGCAUAGAGCGAACCCGCUUAAGCGACCCGGGGCGGCCCGCGUCCCGGAGCGCGCUCCUGCGCAGCCGCUGAUGCCCCGUGACAAUCGCUCCAGCGUCCCCCAACCCCCAGCGCCGUGUGCCUGAGCCUCUCCGCCAGGCCUGUUCUAGGGGGCUGGACAGCAGAGGCCACCGCCCGCGGGGAGCAGCCGAGGACCACGCUAAAUAGCGGAGAGACCGUCCCAAGUGCUGCGCAGGGACCUGAAGACAAGCCACUGCCUGCCUGCGUGAGCAAUCACUUUAGAUCUGUGGUCAGGAGGGACUCCAGCGCAUGGAUCUGAGUGACAAGGACAAAGAGAGAGGGAGGGUGUUGCAGGUGCAGGGAACUGUGGUGCGAGGACCCUAGGGCGCUGGAUAAACACUGUGCUGGCGCCGGCGCUGUGCAUAGCAGGUAAAGCCACCACCUGUGACGCUGGCAUCCCGUGUGGGCACCAGUUCGAGCCCCGGCUGCUCCAUUUCUGACCCAGCUCUCUGCUAAUGCACCUGGGAAAACAGCAGAAGAUGGCCCAAGUGCUUGGGCCCCUGCACCCAGGUGGGAGACCCAGAAGAAGCUCCUGGCUCCUGGCUUUAGCCUGGCCCAGCUCCAGCCGUUGCAGCCAUUUGGGGAGUGAACCUGGGGAUGGAAGACCUCUCUCUCUCUCUCUCUCUCUCUCUCUCUCUGUAACUCUGUCCUUCAAAUAAACAAAUAAAUAUCCUUAAAAAAAAAAAAAAAGAAUAAAAAAAACCCCACUGUGGUCUUGAUGAACAAAGAAAUGCUGAAAAGCAGGCACGCAGGAACCCAGACCCGGCUGGAGGAAUGACUACCUCUGCACUGACCCCUCCUGGGCGCAGCACCCCACGGUGCAGUACCCAGGAUGCUGAAUGCUGUGUGGAUGAACCUCGCACUUGCAGCCAGCAGCACUGCCCUUAUCUUCUGUCUGGUCUCGCCUGCGUUCUAGCAAUGGCUUUCUGUUUUAUACCACGCCUUUCCCCCUCUUAUUGUGCAGCUCCGUGUAGCUGUCAUUCAUGCGUUUGCUUUCUUUUUCCUUAAAAUUUGUUUAUUA